Molecule: ribosomal RNA, 305 nt
Filed under: uncultured bacterium
Lineage: Bacteria
Description: bacterial SSU rRNA
Rfam family: Bacterial small subunit ribosomal RNA
Source: RNAcentral
UCCUACGGGGGGCAGCAGUGGGGAAUAUUGCACAAUGGGGGAAACCCUGGUGCAGCAACGCCGCGUGAAGGAAGACGGUUUUCGGAUUGUAAACUUCUGUUCUUAGUGAAGAAGAAUGACGGUAGCUAAGGAGCAAGCCCCGGCUAACUACGUGCCAGCAGCCGCGGUAAUACGUAGGGGGCAAGCGUUAUCCGGAUUUACUGGGUGUAAAGGGAGCGUAGGCGGCGAUGCAAGUCAGAAGUGAAAGCCCGGGGCUCAACUCCGGGACUGCUUUUGAAACUGUGUUGCUAGAUUGCAGGAGAGGU